UACAAUUUCCAUACCCAGAUGUGGCCCUCGGGCCAAAAAGUUUGCCCACCCCUGAGUUAGACUGUAAUGCCUUGGCACUUGUAUUGCAGCAAAGGGUGCUAGAGAAAACCCCUCAGAGGGAUUUUCAGGGCAGGUCCUGUAAAAAGCCACGUAUAUUUGCAGUACUAAAUAAAAAUUAAAAAUCCUUUCCAAGAUAUGGGGGGGGGGGGGGGGGGAGAAAUCCUGCCAGGGCUCAGAGUGGGUUAGCUGGAUACCCUGUUUCCUGUACAGAACCACAGAUAACAUUUUACAGUAAAUAUGAUAUGAAUUCCUUCUCUUUGCAGAAUCAGGAAGCUAGUGCCCCUCUCCCUCUGCUCAAAGCUCUUUUCACAAGGUUAUUUUCUGAAGGCAACUUUUCAAUAUAAAUCCUAUUAAAUGUACUACACAAUGUUUGUUGUUUGCCAUAUUGAAAUCCAACGGGCAGAAGGUGUCCGUUUCAAAAGCAGGGUAAUUUAUUAUAACAAACUUGGCUUUUUGACACAGACAGUGUUAUCUCAAAAGCACCUUAUGCUUCAGGCUUCUAAAGCAACACAGUUGAAAAAAACAAGCUGAAAAGUUGAGUUCUUGCAGGGGUAAUCCCCCAAGCUGUGGACAAUACCUGCUGCUUUUGGCUCAGGAUUAUUAGGACAUCCCAUGCUUUGAAGGUCCCAAAGAUCAAGUGAAAAAACAGAAACAAAUCACCAAUGUGAAAAACUUUGCAAAUCUGGAAAACAAACCCCAGCAAAAUGAGAUUUGGCAGAGAAACCUCCUAUUUCAGCUAGAACAUCCCCUCUUCUCUUCAAGUCUGGGUCUCACAGCUACUUGGCUACAAUUUACAGACAUCCACCCUGCCUUUUCCAGCACAAUAGAAUACAGCCAGCUAUACUACCAUGGGAGGAUUCAUGCCAGACAGCAGUAUUCCAGCUUGGAGCCUGCAGAGGGAAGUGAUCCUGCAUUAAAGUCAGAAGCAUUCCUAUUAACAACAAAACUAGAUGGCCUGUUUCUUAUGAGAUUAGAUGAACCAAAUUAGGGUUUAUGAUUAGUUCCAGGUCUACAUACAGAAAAUGCCUCCAGCAGAUCCAAAAAGGCCCUUUGCACUGCUGCUCUAAGCCCUGGUCUACACGACGAGUUGAGGUCGAAUUUAGCAGCGUUAGAUCAAUUUAACCCUGCACCCGUCCACACGAUUAAGCCAUUUUUUCCAACUUAAAGGGCUCUUAAAAUCGACUUCUGUACUCCUCGCCCGACGAGGGGAUUAGUGCUGAAAUUGACCUUGCCGGGUUGAAUUUGGGGUAGUGUGGUCGCAAUUCAAUGGUAUUGGCCUCCGGGAGCUAUCUCAGAGUGCUCCAUUGUGACCGCUCUGGACAGCGCUCUCAACUCAGAUGCACUGGCCAGGUAGACAGGAAAAGGCCCGCGAACUUUUGAAUUUCAUUUCCUGUUUGGCCAGCAUGGCAAGCUGCAGGUGAGUGCAGAUCUCAACAGCAGAGGUGACCAUGAUGGAGUCCCAGAAUCGCAAAAGAGCUCCAGCAUGGACUGAACGGGAGGUACGGUAUCUGAUUGCUGUAUGGGGAGAUGAAUCCGUGCUAUCAGAACUCCGUUCCAAAAGACAAAAUGCCCAAACAUUUGAAAAAAUCUUGAAGGGCAUGAAGGACAGAGGUUAUAACAGGGACCCGCAGCAGUGCCACGUGAAACUUAAGGAGCUCAGGCAAGCCUACCAAAAAACCAAAGAGGCAAACGGCCGCUCGGGGUCAGAGCCCCAGACAUUCCGCUUCUAUGAUGAGCUGCAUGACAUUCUAGGGGGUGCAGCCACCACUAACCCACCCUGUGCUUUGACUCCAUCAAUGGAUUAUCAUGCAACAGGGAUGCGCAUUUUGAGGAUUAGGAAGAUGAGGAAGAGGUUGAAGAUAGUGCACAGAAAGCAAGCGGAGAAACCGUUUUCCCCCGAGAGCCAGGAACUGUUUCUCACCCUGGACCUGGAGCCAGUACCCCCUGAACCCACCCAAGGCAGGCUCCUGGACCCGCCAGGCGGAGUAGGGACCUCUGGAAAACUGGGCUGAUCCUUCUGUGUCUUACAUCAACACAUACAAGAAAGGGUCUGCCACCAAACAUAGGUGACCAUUUUGUUACUGAAUGGAAUCUAGAUUACUCAAGAGACAAGCAGAGUAAAGACAUGUCAGUAAGGUAAGCGGAUACAUUUGAUGUUAUUUGAUGACGGCAAUCACACCUUAAAGAUUGCUCAUGUAUGAUAUCUAGUAACAAUAAGGGUAUGUAGUUUAUGUGUAAGUAUUACAGGAUCACAAUUCACGACUGGCAGAGUGCGGGAGAACCACGCAUAAUGUAAAUUCAGGGAAGUGAAAUAAGCCAGCCAAAUAAACCCAACAUCAACAGUGCAGUCAGUAUCGUUUGUUUACACAAUGGGAACUGUGGUCUGAUUGUCUAGAUAAAGUACCUUUUGCAUUUUCCUGAAAACCUUCAAUGGCACCAGUGCCAUGGGAGAGAAGCCAUAGCCUCAGUAAUGGCCAGCAUGGAGAGUGUUGGACACCCGGUUCUGGGACAGAUUUCACACGGACGUGUCCCAUAGCACACUGCUGUCCUUAGGUUAAAUUAGAACCUAACCACAGAAAAUCCUGAAUAGUUUUUCAAAUGUGAACAGAAGAACUUCAAGUCUGGGUUUAAAAGUUCCCAGAAGUAAUUUUCUAACCAAUAUGUGGCUUAACAGGAACCCAGAGAAAUUACCACAGAGUUGGAAAAAAAGCACUAACACUCACCAUUGACCUGUGCCCUUGGAAUCAGAUUUCCAAAUAAGGCCAUCAAGCAGAGGGUUUUAUUGGUCAAACAGAAGUUACAGAGAGCUGACUGCUUGUUGGGGUACUGUAUGUCACUAUAAAAAGCACUGAAAGAAAGCCACACUCCUGAAGUGGCAUAUGGUGAGACUCCCUCCUUAACAGAGUCAAGAAUUUAUUCUGAAAAAGCUUUUCAAUUAAAAUAUUUGAGCCAUCUCCCUAGUUAGUGACCUCUUUUACCAGUAUUAGUAAGGGAACCCAAUACUGCAGAACAUAACUCUGUUAAUAACAUGUUCUAAUAUUGGUUUAUCACACACAAAAGCUUCUUGACUGUGAUCUUAAUAACUACACACAGCAAGGAUGAAAACCAAAACCGACACAAAGUUCUGCAUUUACAGACAUUUUACCUCUGCCCCAGAGCUUGCUCAACAUCCAUGGAAGCCUAACUGUUGACUGCUCUGCCCUAGCAUGCUAAUAACCCACCAGUCACUCAACACCCAGAUAAACAAAGGGUUAUUAGCACAGUCACAACCCUGCAGCCAGGGCCCAGACUGAACACCUGUUGCAAAGCACCCAGGAAAGAAUGAGGCAUCCAUAAGCACCCCCGACUCUUUCAGCCUGUUCCCUGAGCACAGAACCAGUGCUCUUAGGAAACAGGCAGGUGUUCGCAUAGCACAUAGCAUGCUGGAUAGUGAAAUACAAAGGCCAUCUUUGGUCACGGUAUGGACUACAGAACAGACCUUUAUAGCCAGGAUUGAUGUAUUCAUAUAUAAGAACACGGCAAUGGUCAUACUAGGGUCAGACCCGUGGCCUGUCUAACCCAAUACCCUGUCUUCCAACAGUGGCCGAUGCCAGAUGCUUCAGAGGGAAUGAACAGAACAGAGCAAUUAUUGAGUGAUCCAUCCUGUCAUCCAGUUCCAGCUUCUGGCAGUCAGAGGUUUAGGGACACCUAGAGCAUGUGGUUGCGUCCCUGACCAUCUUGGCUAACAGUCAUUGCUGUACCCAUCCUCCACAAGAAUAUCUAUUCUUUUUUGACCCCCCCCCAAAACUCUCAGCAUGUGAUUGCAUUUGAUGGGUUAUCCUGGGCACACUGGGGCCGAGCUAUGGGAAAAUAUAUAGUUUGGGGGGUGUUAAUGGAUACCACAGACUUUUGUUGCCAUGCCUUGUGAUUCAGAGUUUAUAUGCUGCUGCUUUCAUAAUUAUAUUGUGCUUUUAAAAAAAAACAGCAACUAAUCAGGGGUUAAAAUAAACUUGUUUAAUGGCCAAAUUUAAAAAGACAGAGGAUAAUUCCCAUUCCUUUGUUAUUUGUAAAAUACUAUUCUUGUACCCUGUAAGCAGGUUUUAGAACAUGCCUGAACCACCCAUUAAGACCAACUCAUUAGGCUCUGUAACAGGCCUGUCCUCUGAGAAAGAUUUACAGAUUGCUUAAUAGACCAACUGGAAGUGAUUACCACUGCCUGCAGGAGAUUUCAGCCUAAGGGACUGAUUUAAUUGGCUUGCAAACCACGAUGACGUAGUUUCAGAUACACAGCAAUGGGAGUGAAGCAGCCGUAUAAUCACUUUGUAACCCCAGGUUUCAGAGUAACAGCCGUGUUAGUCUGUAUUUGCAAAAAGAAAAGGAGUAUUUGUGGCUCC
Molecule: non-coding RNA, 4433 nt
Organism: Caretta caretta (loggerhead turtle)
Lineage: Eukaryota; Metazoa; Chordata; Testudines; Cheloniidae
Source: RefSeq, a predicted model, not a curated record